CUAAGUUUGAUGGCGACCGGCGCACGGGUGAGUAACACGUAUCCAACCUGCCGAUGACUCGGGGAUAGCCUUUCGAAAGAAAGAUUAAUACCCGAUGGCAUAGUUCUUCCGCAUGGUAGAACUAUUAAAGGAUUUCGGUCAUCGAUGGGGAUGCGUUCCAUUAGGUUGUUGGCGGGGUAACGGCCCACCAAGCCUUCGAUGGAUAGGGGUUCUGAGAGGAAGGUCCCCCACAUUGGAACUGAGACACGGCCAACUCCUACGGGAGGCAGCAUG
RNAcentral lists this ribosomal RNA (273 nucleotides) under uncultured bacterium. RNAcentral's name for it is "partial 16S ribosomal RNA". It matches the Rfam family "Bacterial small subunit ribosomal RNA", at positions 79 to 353 of the family's 1533-position model. The record is from RNAcentral.